UACGAAGGGUGCAAGCGUUACUCGGAAUUACUGGGCGUAAAGCGUGCGUAGGUGGUUUGUUAAGUCUGUUGUGAAAGCCCCGGGCUCAACCUGGGAAUGGCAAUGGAUACUGGCAAGCUAGAGUGCGGUAGAGGGUAGUGGAAUUCCCGGUGUAGCGGUGAAAUGCGUAGAUAUAGGAAGGAACACCAGUGGCGAAGGCGACCACCUGGACUGAUACUGACACUGAGGUGCGAAAGCGUGGGGAGCAAACAGG
This 253-nucleotide ribosomal RNA is filed under the name uncultured bacterium. RNAcentral describes it as "partial 16S ribosomal RNA". It matches the Rfam family "Bacterial small subunit ribosomal RNA", at positions 524 to 776 of the family's 1533-position model. The record is from RNAcentral.